Molecule: ribosomal RNA, 497 nt
Filed under: uncultured bacterium
Lineage: Bacteria
Description: partial 16S ribosomal RNA
Rfam family: Bacterial small subunit ribosomal RNA
Source: RNAcentral
GAUGAACGCUGGCGGCGUGCCUAAUACAUGCAAGUCGAGCGAACAGACGAGGAGCUUGCUCCUCUGACGUUAGCGGCGGACGGGUGUGUAACACGUGGAUAACCUCCCUAUAAGACUGGGAUAACUUCGGGACACCGGAGCUAAUACCGGAUAAUAUCUUGAACCGCAUGGUUCAAUAGUGAAAUACGGCUUUGCUGUCACUUAUAGCUGGAUCCGCGCCGCAUUAGCUAGUUGGUAGGGUAACGGCUUACCAAGGCAACGAUGCGUAGCCGACCUGAGAGGGGGAUAGGCCACACGGGAACUGAGACACGGUCCAGACUCCUACGGGAGGCAGCAGUAGGGAAUCUUCCGCAAUGGGCGAAAGCUUGACGGAGCAACGCCGCGUGAGUGAUGAAGGUCUUCGGAUCGUAAAACUCUGUUAUUAGGGAAGAACAAAUGUGUAAGUAACUAUGCACGUCUUGACGGUACCGAAUCAAAAAGCCACGGCUAACUACGUG